UGGAUUCCUACAACAUGAUGAAUCACAAAGUUCCCCUCUCCAUUUUGUGCCAGCUCACCCAAUCCACCCUUUGGAGCAGAGCAAGCCAGGGACCUACUGCACAGUCUACGCCUUUGUGAGACAGAAUUAGAGAAAGAAGACGAGCUGCCGACGCGCUCUGGAACAUACAAAUGGGCGUCUGGAUGCUUUUCUGACAGCAAGCCGUUAUGGAUGGGGGUGAAAGCUUGAAUGCAUUCCUCCUCUCAAUGGUUUCUCGGCGAAGACUAUGGAAAUAUCCACGCCCAAUCUUCACGGAGUGGAUCAAAUGCCUGCCAGAAAGGAUGAGACGUCAAACAAUGGCAGCGCAUAAGCAGUGCUCCCCAAUCACUCUCCUUUGGGCCCACUUGGCUCUGUUUUAUCUGCCUUUAAAGAUUCUUUCACCAAUACAAAAUAAACCAGACCCAAAGGCUGGGUGGA
Python bivittatus (Burmese python) is the source of this 456-nucleotide long non-coding RNA. RefSeq lists it as uncharacterized. Lineage: Eukaryota; Metazoa; Chordata; Lepidosauria; Squamata; Pythonidae. The record is from RefSeq and is a predicted model, not a curated record.